ACUUAUGCCAAACAAGCACCUAGCUACUGUCAAAUGAUAAAAAAUCUUCAGCACCAGUAUAUCUUUUGAGUCUGCCCUGAAUUGGGUUGUGGAUUUUCAGAGUUCCGUUCUUGCUCCUUCCAGUUUUGUUGAGGCAUUGUUGUACAUCUGUGACAUCGUCUCUUCAAAAUGGCUUCUGGACGCCGAAAAGACACACCGGCGCCUCCUCUUUUUCUCAGAGGAAAACUGAAGCCUGCUAAUCUCCUUCCCUCUAAGUUCCAGAAGGAGAAGUUUCUGAACAUCAAGAAGGAGGCCAGAACUGGGGGGACUGGUCUGCCCAGAAUUGGCCCAAUUCUAGACUUUGAGUUCGAUGCUGAUCAAAAGCUGCCGCCAGUUCCCCAGAAACAGAACCUGUUUCGGGUUUCCCCAUCAGAGGUGGUAUUUCAGAACUUCGUCGCUCAUGAGGUCUCUGAAAUGGAGCUGGCUCUCACCAAUAAGGACAAGGUAAGUGCUGGGAUGUGGAGCUUUAACGCCGUGCUGGAAGAGGGGAGUGGUGUUAUUCCCAUAGUGUACAGCAAAGCAAGUGAUCUGCUGCAGCACACCCAGAAGAAAAUGUCUCAGCACCUUUGUUCUGCAGGAUGGUGGAAAUCUUGUUGUGCCAGGAAUUCUCCCAUGAUUUUGGCCAUGCAUGGAUGGUAUCUAUCCCAAAGGAUCUUCCUUCCCUUGAAAGCUCUGUACUGAUAGGAAUGUGGAGGGCUGUACAGUUCAUACCUGCUCUCAUGCUUUGCCUUGAGUCUGUACCACAUCCCGUGUCUCCUUGGGUCCUGGUAGGAAUCUCUGCCUCUCUCAGCCUGUUUGGCUCCCUUUGUGCAGCUCAAUAUCAAAGCUCAGGGGCUGAAUCUUCUCCACUUUAUGCUGGAAUCACUUAUCACUAAUGGCAUUGGUACUGCAGGAAAUGUGUUCUGAAACAGCCCUGGAGUCAGACUGAUGCAGCAGAAGCAGUGAGAGGCCUUUAGGUGCCACUUCAGGCUCCUGCUAAGCUUCAUCCAGCUCUGCUCAGGUUUUCCAAAAGCAACGUGGUGCUCUGCUUUCCCUUUGGAGAACCACAGCACAUCCAAAGCCAUGUGCUCCUGGAGGACUUCACCUUCACUUGAAGCAAUUGUGAUUGUUUUGCAGUUUCCCAAGAGAGUUGAGAGGGGAAAAAGUUGAAAAAUGUCAGCAGUUGUGUUCCACUGUAAAGAGGAAAAUUGAAACCAUUUGAAUUUCAGUCAGGGAAACAUUUUCUCAAGUGAGGCUUGUGCCGAGAGUGGACUGGUGGGAAGAGCCAGGAGGGAGUCAAAAUCAUCUGGUUUAGACUUUUUGAGAGCAUUUGGGUGCUCAGGGGUUGAUAUCUAUGUGCUAG
RNAcentral lists this long non-coding RNA (1381 nucleotides) under Cyanistes caeruleus (blue tit). RNAcentral describes it as "lncRNA (ENSCCEG00000005089.1)". Lineage: Eukaryota; Metazoa; Chordata; Aves; Passeriformes; Paridae. The record is from RNAcentral.